AAGUCGUAACAAGGUUUCCGUAGGUGAACCUGCGGAAGGAUCAUUACCACGUUUUGAUGCGUAUCAACCAACCGCGAAUUGUUUUCAACCUCUCCCAACAUAGAGAAUGAGCUGGAAUAGCAAACGUGUGCGUGCGGAUCUUCGGAUCAGCGAAUGCUAAACAUUUAUCUUCGGAUAGACAGCUGUAUUUCUGUGUGUGGCUUAUCUCUGUACCUUGGUUUCCGUUCCGAUCGUGGGUACAGGGAGUCCUUUUAUAUUAACGAUACAAACCGCUUUUUGCUAGUUGACUUUUUAUAUGUUGUUCUUUUUGUUUCGGCAAGGGGAACACACGUUUAUUUAUUUGAACGUUAAAAAUACAACUCUUAGCAAUGGAUAUCUUGGUUCUC
RNAcentral lists this unclassified non-coding RNA (386 nucleotides) under fungal sp. Its description in RNAcentral is "partial internal transcribed spacer region". The stretch from base 1 to 46 matches the Rfam family "Eukaryotic small subunit ribosomal RNA", at positions 1786 to 1831 of the family's 1831-position model. The record is from RNAcentral. Lineage: Eukaryota; Fungi.